Molecule: ribosomal RNA, 494 nt
Filed under: uncultured bacterium
Lineage: Bacteria
Description: partial 16S ribosomal RNA
Rfam family: Bacterial small subunit ribosomal RNA
Source: RNAcentral
UGGGGAAUAUUGGACAAUGGGCGCAAGCCUGAUCCAGCCAUGCCGCGUGAGUGAUGAAGGCCCUAGGGUUGUAAAGCUCUUUCACCGGUGAAGAUAAUGACGGUAACCGGAGAAGAAGCCCCGGCUAACUUCGUGCCAGUAGCCGCGGUAAUACGAAGGGGGCUAGCGUUGUUCGGAUUUACUGGGCGUAAAGCGCACGUAGGCGGACUUUUAAGUCAGGGGUGAAAUCCCGGGGGCUAACCCCGGAACUGCCUUUGACACUGGAAGUCUUGAGUAUGGUAGAGGUGAGUGGAAUUCCGAGUGUAGAGGUGAAAUUCGUAGAUAUUCGGAGGAACACCAGUGGGCGAAGGCGGCUCACUGGACCAUUACUGACGCUGAGGUGCGAAAGCGUGGGGAGCAAACAGGUUAGAUACCCUGGUAGUCCACGCCGUAAACGAUGAAUGUUAGCCGUUGGGGAGUUUACUCUUCGGUGGCGCAGCUAACGCAUUAAACUU